ACACCUCAACUCUCAUGGCCUUGCCAUGACGAGCUUGGACUUUGGGGGUCUUGCUGGCCUAUUAUGGGUCAGCUCCUUUCAAAUGAAUCAGCUUGCCAGUGUUUGGUGGCAUCACAGGUGUGAUAACUAUCUACGCUUGUGGUUUUCCACCGGGUAACCUUCAGUGAUGAAGGUUCGCUGGGGCUCAUAAAAGUGUCUCUCCUCACCGAGGACAGCUCUUUGAAC
This 225-nucleotide unclassified non-coding RNA is filed under the name uncultured Tomentella. RNAcentral's name for it is "sequence contains ITS2". Lineage: Eukaryota; Fungi; Basidiomycota; Agaricomycetes; Thelephorales; Thelephoraceae. The record is from RNAcentral.